This 414-nucleotide ribosomal RNA is filed under the name Gastrotheca riobambae (Riobamba marsupial frog). RNAcentral's name for it is "partial 16S ribosomal RNA". It matches the Rfam family "Bacterial large subunit ribosomal RNA", at positions 2001 to 2565 of the family's 2925-position model. The record is from RNAcentral. Lineage: Eukaryota; Metazoa; Chordata; Amphibia; Anura; Hemiphractidae.
ACCACGAGGGUUAUACUGUCUCCUUUUUCUAAUCAGUGAAUCUAAUCUCCCCGUGAAGAAGCGGGGUUACAACUAUAAGACGAGAAGNNCCUAUGGAGCUUUAAACAAAACAACAUUUGCUAAGUCACACACGAAUCUCAGGAAAUUAAUUCUUAUUUUAGCCCUAUGAUUGUUAGUUUUAGGUUGGGGUGACCGCGGAGUAAAAAACAACCUCCACAAUGAAUAGGGCCCUCCCUUAAGCAAAAAGCCACAACUUUACGCAUCAACAAAAUUGACAUUAAUUGACCCAAUAUUUUGAUCAACGAAACAAGUUACCCUAGGGAUAACAGCGCAAUCCACUUCAAGAGCCCGUAUCGACAAGUGGGUUUACGACCUCGAUGUUGGAUCAGGGUACCCCAGUGGUGCAGCCGCUAC